Molecule: long non-coding RNA, 601 nt
Organism: Mesoplodon densirostris (Blainville's beaked whale)
Lineage: Eukaryota; Metazoa; Chordata; Mammalia; Artiodactyla; Ziphiidae
Exons: 3
Source: RefSeq, a predicted model, not a curated record
GAGGCGGCCUCGCUGCCUUCUGCUCAAUCGCCCCCUCUCGACUCUGCCUACGAUUUCUUUGCAGAGAAACGUGGGGAAGUCGAAUGGAAGUGCUGAGGUGUUGAGAAGUGGAAAUGGAAGAGGGGAGAGGACCAAAGCCUUGGGGUGCAGCCCUGCCGCACUCCCAGGUGUUCCUUUAGGCCGCUUGCCCCGUGCGUCCAUCAACCCACCCCACCUUUCCCCAUCUGGGCUCCAGGUCCAGGACGUCCUGCAGAGAUCGGUGGGGCAAAAGACACAGACCGACAAGGCCUGGGGAGGUAGGGUGGAGAAAGGAGCAGAAUGCCUCCACCUGGAUAGGAAAGCAAAUAACGUGUGUCCCUCGCUCAUCUCCAGCCAAGGCUAUAGUGUGAGUAGAAAGCUCUGGAAACACAGUGGCUACAUCACAGUAGCUGUUUUAUCAAGUAUGCUGUGAUGUUGGCCCUCCCUGCAAAAUAUGAUAAAAUGAAAUCACCAAUGGGUCUUCCAAGAAAAGCCGAAAAUCAACAAAGCACGAUCAACUGAAGUUCUUUUAUUCCCUAGGUAGUGUUCAAUUUAUUCUGCAUUUUGAAAUUUUGUCUUGAUA